GACAGCACAGCUGCCCCAGGUUAAAUGAAGUUCCUUGUGAGCACUUCCACCCAUGGAGCUCCAGGGGGCUUGUGGAGAGGAGCUGAAAAUGGGGUUCAGGUUUGUUGUGACCCUGAGUAUGGCGGCAGUUUCAUUACAGUAUGAAUUAUACUGAUUUAAAAUGGAACUUUAUUAGGCUUUAUCUUCCCAACAGCUGCAAUUAAUCUCUGUAUCAAGUGUCAGGAGUGUAAUGGGUCUGAUUCAUGUCUUCCUUAAGUGUAGUGUAAAUUGGGAGUGCCUGCUGGCAGGCACAAAAGAUUCCAUGUGAAAAAAUUAUUCUAGCUGAGGGAAGACAGACAGAUAUUUGAAUAAACCUAGAUAUUUAAAAAAUAGUAUUGUGAAGAAUGUUUUGAUAUAGUUAUAUAUGAAAUAUGUUUAACUGUGCAACAUGUAAUAGUUGUUACCACUGUGGUGAUUGCACUCAUCCUGACAGCAUGUGAUUUUACAAAGGUGUAGGGAAAAUACCAGUGAAUGAACAGGUAACUGCCACUGGCUCAGCAGCUCUCUCUGGGUUAUUGACUUGUGGCAUGGGAACCCCCUCUUGCACUCACAUGCACUGCUGCCUUGCAGAAAGGACUUCAUGUGAAGUUUUCCAAAAGUGACCUAUUUGAGGCCCUAUAGCUAAUGAUUUAGAAACUAGCUUACCACAUUCAAAAAUCCUGUCCUAAAUCUGGCAGUUUGAGGAAGUUUCAACACAUCCGUUUUUCCAAAAGAUGCAACAUCUUGGGAGCCUUCUGAGGGCAGAAAUUAUACGAAAUUGGGUCUGAAAAAGGAAAAGAAAAAAGUGCUGGUAGCCAGUCACUUUGAGAAAGCUGUUUUCAGUGUGGUGGUGGGACAGGUGGAGGUCAGGCCAGAACUCCUGUAACUUGGCUAUCCAGUAAAUGUCUCCUGUUGGGUAUGCAGCAGUGGCAUAUAGCACCUGAUUUGAACACUGUAUCAUAUUUCUGUUCAGUUUGGCAAAAUUUGAACGAUUGCAGCAAACAGGUGUUCAGUAGAGGUGAAGUUGACUUGCUGAGCUGAAAAAGAAUGUUUGUAGCACAAAAGAGAGCUUGGGUUUAUACAUACUAAGCACAGAAAUGCUCGUGGAGGCAGGAAGCUUCAACCUUCAGAUAAUGGCCGUAAAAGUGACUUUUGAGAUAGUGGUGGCAAGUGGACACAGAUAACAGCCCCAGUCAGUGAUGAGAUGCAACUUACAAAAGCUUUGAUACUGCCGGCUGGGGCCAAAGGCUCUGGGAGCAAUGCCGGACUGGCCCGCCUGGUGGCAAACUGCUUUCACUGGAAGCGCCUCUCCAUGUAGAAGGUGUAACUCUAGAGUGACUUAGCUGACUUGGGCAAACGUUUCCUGAAACCAUGCUAGCUGGAAACCAGCCUGGAUGUGCCCUCUCCCUCCUACCACCAGGGAACUUCUUUUUUCUGUGACAUUGCAAUGGAAGGUGGAGACACCUCGAGGAGAAGGUCGAAACAGACAACAGCAAUUACAGUCAAUAGCAUCUAUGACUUGAGAAAGUCUUGUCUCAAUUACAGAAACCUCAGGAGGACUGUCCACCCUUCAAAUCUUUUUUGAUGAGUUUUAAAUGCAUGAUAUGGAGCACAGCCACUCUCAGUAGGUUGCAGAAAGAGGACAUAAAAUCAUAAUGUCUUCAGAGGGGUUUGGCUGCCUGUGUUCAAGAUCUGCCCUGGUAUGGUGGAGUGUAACCUGGGAUCAGAGUGCUGUGAAAAGAGCUGUGUGCCAAAGAGCUGGGAGAAGCCUGCUGGGGCCUCCCCACUUCCCUUGGGAGCCACAGCACAGAGCUGCCCUUGUCCUCGGUGCUCAUCUAGGGUAGGCUGUCAGGGUGUCUGUGCCUGGCUGUGGACCUUGCUGAUCCUGGCUUGCUCACUUGACUUUCUGGCUUGGCUUCAGACCGGGCUCAUCCCUCUGGGCUUCUCUGACGAUCAUUGGGCUACUGGCUAAAUGUGGUUACUAUCUCCAGACCUGCUCCGCUCCUUUUGGUCACCGUGGCACUGUGCCACUUUACACUGAGGUCCUGUCCCUGCCGGCCCCGCUGUCAGCCCAGCUCGCCUUUGCUCCGUGCUCCCCAAGCUGCUCUGCAGCUGCUGCACUGCCCUGCUCCCGGCAUUCACCGCAGGCACAUCAUCUCCAUCUGUGUGAGAAGUCAGAGAAUAAAUGGGCAGUGAUAUGAGAGAUAUGGUGGCAUCAGGGUGAUUUAUUGCUAUGACAAAUAAGAAAGAUGUGGCAUUAGCUUUGCCUCCCUUCAUUCCCAACUUCCUGAAAAGACAAACCAAAAUUCGGGUCCACUGGUGAGAGCUCAGACCACCAAGAAAACAGCCGGCAGGAGGAGCUCUCUAGACAUUUCGCUGCAUCAUUUUCAGACAGUCAUAGCUGCGUAUUUCAAGGGCAUCGCUUUAGAUCUGCUUUCUUGGGACUUCCUUAGAGACAAACCAGCAGCAGCAGAAGACGGAGGAAACUUCGUGAUACUGCAACUGAACAGCUCCAGUGAUUUUUAUUUAUUUAUUUGUUUGUUUGUUUAGAGGCUUCUCAGGUUCCUUCUCCUACCAUGAUGCCUUUCUCUGUCAUUUGAGAAACUUGUGGUGUUCAUGAAGAUGUUGGGGAUUCUGUUUGGUCUCUCGAAGGGACCAAGUGCUUUAUCUUCCAAGAAAGCUAGUGUAAGAUUUUGUGGACAGCAUUCUAGCCACAGAGUAAAGAAUUCCAAAGCAAUGAUUGUCUUUGCGUAGAGAGAUAUCCUUCUGGAUUUCUCAUGACCUCCAAGGGGACAUGUAAUCAAAGAGCUCUGAAAUGUAUCAAUGCCACUGUGAAUGUUGACCUGACAAAGUUAUUCAAAUAGUUCUGUCUCUUCCUAUGCAGUUCAUCUUUUUCUUCUGUAAGAAGCAGGUACAGAGGACAGUAGUCACUCUUUUGCACAGCACUGUGUUCUCAUUAGUUAGGUGCAAAGUAUCACUCUGCUUCUUCAGGCCAGUCCUGCACUCCUAAAUUGCAUGGGCCCCAUGGCCGUGCCUCUGCACUGCCUCUAAAAGAGAAUUAAGAUUUUCUUCUUUUUUUUUUUUUUUUUAAUUGGUGAAUUUUUUACUGUCUGUAAGUCUGGCCCUCAUUUAGUUAUCUAAAUGGGAACUAGAUGCUUUCUGCUCUUGAAGUUGCUGUAAUAAUUAUUUUGAUUCUGAAUGUGCCAGAAACUAUUCUAAUGCAUAUCAGUGUAAAUUAAGUCAAUAGAGAUUCCUCAAAUUUAUCCUGGUGUUCAAGAGAAUGGAAUUCAUGCACUUCAAUUUACAACUUAUUAAGUGAUCAGAAUUAAUGAACUCGCAACAACCUUUUCUGUUCUUGUUUACAUGUUUUUUUCCUGUUCACUCAUAAUGUACAUGAUUUAGAAAAAGCGGAGAGUUGAAAAGGCAGUGUGUGGGUCAGAUAUGUCCCACGGAGCACAGCAUUGUGCUUCAGGCUGUAAUCAUAUUUGCAAAGCUGCUAUGUAGAAAUGGCACCUUCUGACUUAGUUGAUGCAUGGAAACCCAGCUUGAUUUUCAGAACCCUCUCUGCAUCCUGAAACCUAGAAAAAUAUUUAUACUGAGGAACAGGGAAGGUGCUCUUCACAGUCACUGGAGUUUAACAGAUACAGAAUAGUUCUUUAUUUCUUUUUUUUUUUGAAAGUAAUUUUUCAGUGUAGUACCAUAUUUCAGUCUGGAGGUUGGCAAUAAUGCAAACCAUCGGAUCCACCUUUCCUUUUAUUCUGAGACUUGGAAGUCACUUGGGAUGUCACCAAGAAAACCUCACAUAAACCCUCUUUUUCCCAAGACCAACUGAAGGUUAUCCUACUGUGAUUCAUUCAGUUCAAGGCUGGAAUGAUGAACGGUUCCCUUUAAUUUUCAUAGUGUUUAAGGCUAAAUUUGUGAGGCUGCAUGCUCAUCUGGACAUCAUUUCUCUCUGACUUCAUGGAACAGGACAACUUUCAAAUGCUCCAUCUGAUCCAUUGCAAAAAUUUCAGAGGUUUCCUCUUAUUACUGGGAGAGAGAACACCACUAAUUUGUGAAAAUACUGUGAAAUCAAAAAGGAAAAAUAGGGGAGCAGCAGUAAUUUGGAUACUACUUCAUUUGUAGAUAAAGCGACUGGGUGAUAGCACUCGCAUACCAAUACCUUUAUCUCAUCUCUGUCUAUCACUCUAGAAAAGUUAUUGUGUGAGCACACUGGAAGAUCUGUCACCAGGUAAAUAGAUGACUCUUAUGCAAGCUCUGCAGAACUGCGGAAGAUUGAUGAUCUAAGGCAGGAAGGAAAAAGGAUGGGGGACACACAGCAACCCCGAUGUGAGGGAGUUGAGGUUACCCUGCUACAGCAGUAGUAGUAUAGGUGUGCACAGAGACCCUGAUAGCAACAUUAGAGGACCUAUUUAGUCAGGGAUAGGAGGUGGAUGGGACAUUAAAAUACUGUUGUAGAAGAGAAUUCCUGAUGAGGAAAAUGUUGGGAUCGCAGCAACUCAUACACAGCCUGCUUGGGGGCAUGCACAUGCCCCAGGCAUUGGAGGGGGAGCUGAGAAGUUUGGAAAGAUGACAUAUGAGGCAUUUGUGCAGGGGGGGAGUGGGGCUUAUGGAGUAAAUCCCUGUGUGAGAGAGCAAAAUCUUCAAAGGGGUGGCUGUAGAUACUGAACUGCCCUCAAGAAAUGAGAAAUAGAGGGCAGGCCAUCCAUGUCACACUGAGCAGCUAUGCUGUCAGAGUUGCUGAGAGCAAGGGGGCCAAGGCAGCAAAUGGGAAAGGUUGUUUCAAACCAUAUGGACUGGUUCUGACCAAUGUAUGACUUGCUGAAAACCAAAGAAACUGGUUAGUAGCUCAGGCAGGCUAGAGUGGAGCCCAGGGCUGAAUAGACCUCCAAGCAGGGCCACACAAACAGCUGACCGUGAGUUUGGUCCCUGCAGAGCAGCUGGAACUGACUGCCUGGCUUCUCCUCUCUGUGCUGGUGUGGAGGUGGUGCAUCUCGGGCUACUGGGCAGUUCCUGUGCAUGAAAGGACUGUGCAGAGGCAGGUAGUCUGUGGAAGUUGAUGUAUGACAAAUUCCAUUUUGUUUUUACCUCUUUGUUGCUUAUGCACUUGCAUACCAGUGUUAAAAGAUAAGGGACACCCUCAGAGGAAAGAGUAGUGAAGUGAUCCUGAGCUCACUCUGAAGAUUUGUAAAAAUGGGGUGAAGAGAGCCCAUGGUUACAUCUAAGGAAGGUAGAGUACGCUGGAUUCACAGGACUCUGCUUUAAGUACAACUGACUUAUAAUUCUGAUGGAAAAACAAACAUGUCUUAAUACAAGUUUCAAAUACUG
Molecule: long non-coding RNA, 5346 nt
Organism: Tyto alba (common barn owl)
Lineage: Eukaryota; Metazoa; Chordata; Aves; Strigiformes; Tytonidae
Exons: 6
Source: RefSeq, a predicted model, not a curated record